Molecule: ribosomal RNA, 109 nt
Filed under: Petromyzon marinus (sea lamprey)
Lineage: Eukaryota; Metazoa; Chordata; Hyperoartia; Petromyzontiformes; Petromyzontidae
Source: RNAcentral
GCCUAUAUCCAAAUCGCCCUCAAUAUGCCCGAUCUCGAAAGCUAAGUAGGUUCGGGCUUGGUUAGUGCUCGGAUGAGUGACUACCAGGGCUUGCCAGGUUCAGUAGGCA